This 265-nucleotide ribosomal RNA is filed under the name uncultured bacterium. RNAcentral describes it as "partial 16S ribosomal RNA". It matches the Rfam family "Bacterial small subunit ribosomal RNA", at positions 793 to 1055 of the family's 1533-position model. The record is from RNAcentral.
GUCCACGCCGUAAACGAUGAAUACUAGGUGUGGGGGGACUGACCCCCUCCGUGCCGCAGUUAACACAAUAAGUAUUCCACCUGGGGAGUACGACCGCAAGGUUGAAACUCAAAGGAAUUGACGGGGCCCGCACAAGCAGUGGAUUAUGUGGUUUAAUUCGAAGCAACGCGAAGAACCUUACCAGGGCUUGACAUCCAACUAACGAAGCAGAGAUGCAUUAGGUGCCCUUCGGGGAAAGUUGAGACAGGUGGUGCAUGGUUGUCGU